Non-coding RNA from Araneus ventricosus, 80 nucleotides. NCBI's taxonomy places the organism in Eukaryota, Metazoa, Arthropoda, Arachnida, Araneae, Araneidae. The record is from the annotation of a GenBank genome assembly.
CGCAGGCGGUAGGGUUCGAACCUACGCGGAAACCCCAAUGGAUUUGAGGUCCAUCGCCUUAACCACUCAGCCACGACUGC